Non-coding RNA from Aegilops tauschii subsp. strangulata, 783 nucleotides. The record is from RefSeq and is a predicted model, not a curated record. NCBI's taxonomy places the organism in Eukaryota, Viridiplantae, Streptophyta, Magnoliopsida, Poales, Poaceae.
CCAGUCUAAUCCCCCGGCGCCUUUAGCUGCCGAAGCGCACUCGCUUGGUCAAGGAAGGUGGGAGGGAGAUCGGCGGGACCCCACGCCGCGCGCGUACCAGCCAUCGCCGGUCGUUUUUCGCCGUCUCGGAGAAGGGAGCAGGAGAGAGAAAGGAGGAUGUGAGGUGGAGAGAACCUGUUGGGGUUGAAGCUGACGGCGGAGGACGGCGGGCGGCUCGUGCGGAGGAGGUGAGCGCGCGUGGCCGGCGGUGAGUCGAGGUGGUCGUCUCCGUGCAUACUCCUCAUUUUUAUAGGUGGAAGACGGAAUCACGGGAGAACAGAGCCUGUGGCCGGACGGGAAUGGAAAUGGGUAUGAACGGACUGUGUGGGGAUGGCAAUGGACGGCUCCGAUCCGAUCGGAUCUUUUCAUGACUCAUGAUUCUGCUUGCUGCUGAACGAGUGAAGACGGCCUCUAGAGCAUCUCCCAGCUGCGAACCAACAUGUAGUUAGAUGGUUGGACAGUGGUAUUCUAAGCCCAUCAGGAUUUAAGUCCUGAUGCUCGCAUUUCCGGCGAUGUGCGUUUAGUGAAAGGAGACGUUCUAUCGACUACGAGGCCCCUUUGGUGACUUCGUCAAUCUCAAGAUGAUAUGCCAGCUCAGUCUCUCGAAGAUACUCAUAGAGGUAGGGUAUGCGUAUGUGUUCAUAGAAAUGAGUGUAUGCGCGUAUAUAUGAGCGCAUGCAUCUGUACUGUGUUAAAAAAAACAUCUCCCACGUCGUUCCAUGAACGGACAUUUUCAAAUGUUUA